This 750-nucleotide ribosomal RNA is filed under the name uncultured bacterium. RNAcentral's name for it is "bacterial SSU rRNA". It matches the Rfam family "Bacterial small subunit ribosomal RNA", at positions 42 to 754 of the family's 1533-position model. The record is from RNAcentral.
GGGGGCCAAAAAUGCAAGUCGAGCGAGCUUGCCUAGAUGAUUUUAGUGCUUGCACUAAAUGAAACUAGAUACAAGCGAGCGGCGGACGGGUGAGUAACACGUGGGUAACCUGCCCAAGAGACUGGGAUAACACCUGGAAACAGAUGCUAAUACCGGAUAACAACACUAGACGCAUGUCUAGAGUUUGAAAGAUGGUUCUGCUAUCACUCUUGGAUGGACCUGCGGUGCAUUAGCUAGUUGGUAAGGUAACGGCUUACCAAGGCAAUGAUGCAUAGCCGAGUUGAGAGACUGAUCGGCCACAUUGGGACUGAGACACGGCCCAAACUCCUACGGGAGGCAGCAGUAGGGAAUCUUCCACAAUGGACGAAAGUCUGAUGGAGCAACGCCGCGUGAGUGAAGAAGGGUUUCGGCUCGUAAAGCUCUGUUGGUAGUGAAGAAAGAUAGAGGUAGUAACUGGCCUUUAUUUGACGGUAAUUACUUAGAAAGUCACGGCUAACUACGUGCCAGCAGCCGCGGUAAUACGUAGGUGGCAAGCGUUGUCCGGAUUUAUUGGGCGUAAAGCGAGUGCAGGCGGUUCAAUAAGUCUGAUGUGAAAGCCUUCGGCUCAACCGGAGAAUUGCAUCAGAAACUGUUGAACUUGAGUGCAGAAGAGGAGAGUGGAACUCCAUGUGUAGCGGUGGAAUGCGUAGAUAUAUGGAAGAACACCAGUGGCGAAGGCGGCUCUCUGGUCUGCAACUGACGCUGAGGCUC